AAGUCGUAACAAGGUUUCCUUCACCUAUUGAAGCCUUCAGCAGCGACUGUAAAGAAAUGCGUAGUUUGCUUGCAAGCAAUGCCACUCAAAUGCUGAGACAUAUGAAUCAGCAGCCUUUUAGGCUCACAGAUCAAAUUGUGGUAACCAUUCUUAUGGGCAAGAUAUGACCGGUCUUAACUAGAGUUAGUUAAGAAUCCACGUUCCGUAGGUGAACCUGCGGAAGGAUCAUUAAUGAGUUCGGGGGCCUAGCCCCCAGCGGUGAGUGUCUGUUCGA
This 274-nucleotide unclassified non-coding RNA is filed under the name Lecanoromycetes sp. RNAcentral describes it as "partial contains small subunit ribosomal RNA and internal transcribed spacer 1". The record is from RNAcentral. Lineage: Eukaryota; Fungi; Ascomycota; Lecanoromycetes.